GUGGGAGUGUGUGUGUGAAUCGUACUUGAGGCUGUCGUUGUGUGUCCAUGAUGGUGUUAGGUGGGAGUGUGUGUGUGUGAAUCGUACUUGAGGCUGUCGUUGUGUGUUGUACUCCACGAUGGUGUUAGGUGGGAGUGUGUGUGUGAAUCGUACUUGAGGCUGUCGUUGUGUGUCCACGAUGGUGUUAGGUGGGAGUGUGUGUGUGAAUCGUACUUGAGGCUGUCGUUGUGUGUCCACGAUGGUGUUAGGUGGGAGUGUGUGUGUGAAUCGUACUUGAGGCUGUCGUUGUGUGUCUUGUACUCCAUGAUGGUGUUAGGUGGGAGUGUGUGUGUGAAUCGUACUUGAGGCUGUCGUUGUGUGUCUUGUACUCCAUGAUGGUGUUGGGAGGGAGGUUC
Long non-coding RNA from Oncorhynchus keta (chum salmon), 395 nucleotides. RefSeq lists it as uncharacterized. NCBI's taxonomy places the organism in Eukaryota, Metazoa, Chordata, Actinopteri, Salmoniformes, Salmonidae. The record is from RefSeq and is a predicted model, not a curated record. The transcript has 3 exons.